AAACACCAAAUAUAAAUGCAAUAUAACGUGGGAGUAACAUGUAAUGUAACAGAUGUUACACUCUAUUUAUAUUAUAGUUACGAAACUUUACUACAUAUAUGUGAUGUAACAAAGUUAUGAAGCUAUAAUAUUACUCCGUUAUUUGUAUGUUACAAUAACCGAACAGUGACGUAACCACAAUGUUGCGUGGUUACACAACAAUUGUUUUAUUUAUGUUAUAUGGAUAUUAUAAAAUGUGAAUCUUGUGAGACUCUAACCUCAAUCGCACAACGUACAUCUCGUGCUAUUAGGCGCGCUUUCCGCUAGUGGAUGCUAUAAUGACGAAAGAGAGACGUUGUUUUCUUGCAACUUGACUUUAAUCAGGAUUCUGCCAAUUAUUCUUACAUCAUUCGGACAACUGUUCUUCUUAAAAUUUAAAAGAACGUAAAGAAUAACUGAAGUUUAUAAAAGCUGAAGAAAUUUUCACAAGGAUUAGAACAGGUAAGAAUAAAUUAUAGCCAUUAUAUGUUUUUAGAAUAAAACCCAGCAAAUUAGAGAUGGGACUAAUCAAAUGUUCCUUCUCAAGUUCCACUUUUGUGCACAUUUCCAGAUAAUCAUAUGCACAUCCACUGGUCAUUCUUAAAUUAUUCUAUAAAUAAAAAUAUCUUAUUUUGUCUUUCGUCUCAUAUAUGCCUAUUUUGUAGUCUUUCGUCUUAUACAUGCCUCAAUUUACAAACAAUUAAGUUAGAGAAUCAAAAAUAUAAAUAAAAAUUCUGAAUGUUAUUAUUGUGAAUGUAUGAAGAGAAUUGUAUUAAUUAGAAUAAAUUACGUAUUUAGAAUAUUCGGAUUGGUACGAAUGAACUGUCAUGCGCAUGUACGCAUCUCGCUAUUUUGCACGCCAGUGCACGCGUCUGCACGCGCAACGCCGCAACAUGAUGAUGUGCGCGAGGUCAGUAGCGAGUCAGUUUUCAGUUUUAUGCAUAAUUUGCAGAUUUUAUCGUGAAGGGAAAUACGGCUGUGCUUAAUUUAAAGUUUAGUCUAACACUAUGGAUUGUAUAAUCAGAUAAGUCUCACAAAAUUUUUAUUUUUUUGUAUGGAGUAGGUAUUCUGAGAUAAGAUGAAUACUUUGUGUUAUGUUUUAUUUUUAGUUAUAUUAAAAGCAAGAGAGGAAGAAACACUAUUUGAGCGUAAAGUAAAAGAGUAGACGAGUAAGGAAAGAAAGAUGUAAAAGAGAGAUCAACCUCACAGCUUGGAAUUUACAGUGUGCCGAACAGAAUAUGUGGACCUUGAAGGUAUCAAAUAACAUAAUUUUACUAAAAAAGUUAUAGGAUGAAGUGAACAAUUUAUUUUUUGUGUGAGAAAGUAUCUAUUACAAUCUAACUUGUUCCGAGAAAACCUUUACAAAAGAUUUAAUAAAGAACAAGCAAUUUGAUGAGAUUAUCAUAUCAUUAUUAUCAUAUUUAUUAUUCGAAUUUUAAAGAGAAACAGUAAGAAAUUUUAUUAAUACAUUAUUAAAAAAUUGUUGGCUGUUACACCAAAAUUCUCUUUCUUGUAAGCUGAUGUAUGCUAUUGAUAAAAAAUUCACCAAAGUUCAUCCCUGUUUUAGCUCAGCGAACCAUUAUAUGUAUAGAGAAUUGACAGAGCAAUUCAUAUCAAAAGGAUUAUCUAAAGGUGUACUUCCUAGUUCUUCAAGUAUGUUAUUUUAUGGCAUUAUCUUAUGGCAGGCUAGAUUACUGAAAUAAAUAAAAAGCGUGAAAUCUGAUCUGAAACAAUUACAACAAAGUAUACAGACUAAUAUCACUCAACUAACCUGCCUAUGAUGUG
Monomorium pharaonis (pharaoh ant) is the source of this 1803-nucleotide long non-coding RNA. RefSeq lists it as uncharacterized. The record is from RefSeq and is a predicted model, not a curated record. NCBI's taxonomy places the organism in Eukaryota, Metazoa, Arthropoda, Insecta, Hymenoptera, Formicidae. The transcript has 3 exons.